AAAGGCUGGCUAAUACCGCAUAAGACCGAGAGGUGAAAGCGGGGGACCGAAAGGCGCGCGAGAAGAUGAGCCGAUGUCCGAUUAGCUAGUUGGCGGGGUAAGCCACCAAGGCGACGAUCGGUAGCUGGUCUGAGAGGAUGAUCAGCCACGGGACUGAGACACGGCCCAGACUCCUACGGGAGGCAGCAGUGGGGAAUGGACAAUGGGCGCAAGCCUGAUCCAGCAAUGCCGCGUGUGAAGAAGGCCUUCGGGUUGUAAAGCACUUUUAUCGGGAGCGAAAAGCCGGCUAAUACCCGGUCGUGCUGACGGUACCCGAGGAAUAAGCACCUAACUUCGUGCCAGCAGCCCGCGGUAAUUACCAAAGGGUGCAAGCGGAUGGAAAUUACCUGGGGCCGUAAAAGCGGUGGCGUAA
RNAcentral lists this ribosomal RNA (412 nucleotides) under uncultured bacterium. RNAcentral describes it as "bacterial SSU rRNA". It matches the Rfam family "Bacterial small subunit ribosomal RNA", at positions 154 to 540 of the family's 1533-position model. The record is from RNAcentral.